GGUUAAGCGACUAAGCGUACACGGUGGAUGCCCUGGCAGUCAGAGGCGAUGAAGGACGUGCUAAUCUGCGAUAAGCGUCGGUAAGGUGAUAUGAACCGUUAUAACCGGCGAUUUCCGAAUGGGGAAACCCAGUGUGAUUCGUCACACUAUCAUUAACUGAAUCCAUAGGUUAAUGAGGCGAACCGGGGGAACUGAAACAUCUAAGUACCCCGAGGAAAAGAAAUCAACCGAGAUUCCCCCAGUAGCGGCGAGCGAACGGGGAGCAGCCCAGAGCCUGAAUCAGUGUGUGUGUUAGUGGAAGCGUCUGGAAAGGCGCGCGAUACAGGGUGACAGCCCCGUACACAAAAAUGCACAUGCUGUGAGCUCGAUGAGUAGGGCGGGACACGUGGUAUCCUGUCUGAAUAUGGGGGGACCAUCCUCCAAGGCUAAAUACUCCUGACUGACCGAUAGUGAACCAGUACCGUGAGGGAAAGGCGAAAAGAACCCCGGCGAGGGGAGUGAAAAAGAACCUGAAACCGUGUACGUACAAGCAGUGGGAGCACGCUUAGGCGUGUGACUGCGUACCUUUUGUAUAAUGGGUCAGCGACUUAUAUUCUGUAGCAAGGUUAACCGAAUAGGGGAGCCGAAGGGAAACCGAGUCUUAACUGGGCGUUAAGUUGCAGGGUAUAGACCCGAAACCCGGUGAUCUAGCCAUGGGCAGGUUGAAGGUUGGGUAACACUAACUGGAGGACCGAACCGACUAAUGUUGAAAAAUUAGCGGAUGACUUGUGGCUGGGGGUGAAAGGCCAAUCAAACCGGGAGAUAGCUGGUUCUCCCCGAAAGCUAUUUAGGUAGCGCCUCGUGAAUUCAUCUCCGGGGGUAGAGCACUGUUUCGGCAAGGGGGUCAUCCCGACUUACCAACCCGAUGCAAACUGCGAAUACCGGAGAAUGUUAUCACGGGAGACACACGGCGGGUGCUAACGUCCGUCGUGAAGAGGGAAACAACCCAGACCGCCAGCUAAGGUCCCAAAGUCAUGGUUAAGUGGGAAACGAUGUGGGAAGGCCCAGACAGCCAGGAUGUUGGCUUAGAAGCAGCCAUCAUUUAAAGAAAGCGUAAUAGCUCACUGGUCGAGUCGGCCUGCGCGGAAGAUGUAACGGGGCUAAACCAUGCACCGAAGCUGCGGCAGCGACGCUGAUGCGUUGUUGGGUAGGGGAGCGUUCUGUAAGCCUGCGAAGGUGUGCUGUGAGGCAUGCUGGAGGUAUCAGAAGUGCGAAUGCUGACAUAAGUAACGAUAAAGCGGGUGAAAAGCCCGCUCGCCGGAAGACCAAGGGUUCCUGUCCAACGUUAAUCGGGGCAGGGUGAGUCGACCCCUAAGGCGAGGCCGAAAGGCGUAGUCGAUGGGAAACAGGUUAAUAUUCCUGUACUUGGUGUUACUGCGAAGGGGGGACGGAGAAGGCUAUGUUGGCCGGGCGACGGUUGUCCCGGUUUAAGCGUGUAGGCUGGUUUUCCAGGCAAAUCCGGAAAAUCAAGGCUGAGGCGUGAUGACGAGGCACUACGGUGCUGAAGCAACAAAUGCCCUGCUUCCAGGAAAAGCCUCUAAGCAUCAGGUAACAUCAAAUCGUACCCCAAACCGACACAGGUGGUCAGGUAGAGAAUACCAAGGCGCUUGAGAGAACUCGGGUGAAGGAACUAGGCAAAAUGGUGCCGUAACUUCGGGAGAAGGCACGCUGAUAUGUAGGUGAAGUCCCUCGCGGAUGGAGCUGAAAU
Molecule: ribosomal RNA, 1747 nt
Filed under: Escherichia coli
Lineage: Bacteria; Pseudomonadati; Pseudomonadota; Gammaproteobacteria; Enterobacterales; Enterobacteriaceae
Description: partial 23S ribosomal RNA
Rfam family: Bacterial large subunit ribosomal RNA
Source: RNAcentral